Long non-coding RNA from Homo sapiens (human), 275 nucleotides. RefSeq lists it as uncharacterized. The transcript is spliced from 2 exons. Lineage: Eukaryota; Metazoa; Chordata; Mammalia; Primates; Hominidae. The record is from RefSeq and is marked validated.
CAGAUACGUGUCCUAAGGCAUUCAGCUGAAUGUUUGGGUUUUAGGGAAGGAAGGAUAUUCCAUGUGCAACAUUCAGUAUUGGAUGAUCUGGAUUCAGUACAGAAAGCCUGGACUUUUGAGCCUAAACAGGAUCUGAAGCAGAAGGAUGAAAAACAGAUCAACCAACAACAAGAAUCAACCAUCUUGGUUUCUCAUUUGUCAAUAAUGGGCAAUAGUCCUGCCCACAUAUCAGGGAAUGUAUAUGCCAUAAUUAAAUACUAAUGCUUCUAUCUUCU